This 12611-nucleotide long non-coding RNA is filed under the name Fragaria vesca (wild strawberry). Its description in RNAcentral is "long non-coding RNA (FVES_LNC003773)". Lineage: Eukaryota; Viridiplantae; Streptophyta; Magnoliopsida; Rosales; Rosaceae. The record is from RNAcentral.
UUCAGCCUUACAAGCUUACCCUGCUCGACCAGCUCACUCCUCCAUCGUAUGUCCCCAUGGUAUUCUUCUACCCCAUUACUGGCCCUGCAGUCUUCAAUCUUCAAACCCUAGCUGACUUAAGACAUGCCCUUUCCGAGACUCUCACUUUGUACUAUCCACUCUCUGGAAGGGUCAAAAACAACCUAUACAUCGAUGAUUUUGAAGCCGGUAUCCCAUACCUUGAGGCCCGAGUGAAAUGUGACAUGACUCAUUUUCUAAGGCUUCCAAAAAUCGAGUGCCUAAAUGAGUUUGUUCCAAUAAAACCAUAUAGUAUGGAAGCAAUAUCUGAUGAGCUUUACCCCUUGCUUGGAGUUCAAGUCAACAUUUUCGAUUCUGGGAUAGCAAUAGGUGUCUCCGUCUGUCACAAGCUCAUCGAUGGCCGAACGUCAUACUGUUUUCUCAAGUCCUGGGGUGCUGUUUUUCGUGGGUGUCGUGAUGAAAUCAUACAUCCUAAUCUCUCUCAAGCAGCAUUGCUUUUCCCACCGAGAGAUGACCUGCCUGAAAAGUAUAUAGCUUUGAUGGAAGGGUGGUCGAUUGCCGUAAAGAAAGUUGCUACAAGGAGAUUUGUAUUUGGUGCGAAAGCCAUAUCUGCAAUUCAAGAUGAAGCGAAGAGCGAGUCCGUGCCCAAGCCAUCACGAGUUCAGGCCGUCUCUGGUUUUCUCUUGAAACAUCUUCUCUCUGCUUCUCGGGCAUCAUCAUCAGGUAAAUCAGUUUAUGUGUCUUCUUAAAAGUGCACCACAUGCAAUUGCGUGAUUGGCAAAGGAGGGCUAGGCGUGAUUAAUUAAGCUAGAGAAGACAAGGUUUUUCCAUUAAUUGUUAGUGAGGCUUGCUCAAAUGCGAGCGUACAAGAGUUUUCAGUAGCUUUAUUUCUGCUGCUUAGGUUAUACCGGAUUUGUUUUGUAAGUUAGAAAAAUACAACUUAUUGGAUAUUGUUAUAAGCAUCUAAUUAAUGAUAUGAAUGAAAAAGAAAAAAGAUCGUACACUUAACAUUUUUCUGCUAUUAUUUCAUACUUAUUUUAUAUUUUUGUAUUACAUAUACUGUACAUAGCUUAAAAAUGAGAAAAUAUAUGAACUUUUGCAGGUACUACUUCAACAAAACUUUCUAUAGCAGCUCAGGUAGUGAACUUAAGAUCACAGAUGAACAUGGAGACAACGUUGGGUAAUGCCAUUGGAAACCUGAUGUGGUGGGCUCCGGCCAUACUAGAGUUAAAUCAUAAAGCACGAGAGAGCAGCGAUCCUAAGCUGUGUGACUUGGUUAUCUUGCUCAAUGAAUCUGUCAAACAAUCUAACAGUGAUUACUUCGACACUUUCAAGGGUAAAGAGGGAUAUGGAAGAAUGUGUGAGCAUCUAGAUAUGGAGGGGACUGUAAGUUCUGUAGAACCAGCACCAGAGAUAUAUUCAUUCUCGAGCUGGACUAGAUUUUUCGACCAAAUUGAUUUUGGAUGCAUGGGGGAGGUCAUCUUGGAUUGGAGUUACCGGAAAACAAUCUGCAUAUUGGAAUUCCACAGUUUUAGUACCAACACAAUGUGAUACUGGAAUUGAAGCGUGGGUGAAUCUAGAUGAAGAGAAAAUGGCUAUGCUAGAACAAGAUCCCCAGUUUCUAGCAUUAGCAUCUCCAAAGACCCUAAUUUCAAGGUAUUGAUUAUGAAAGAUUAUGUGGCUCGUGCAAUGUUUCCAUUUGCAGUGAAUAAGGAUUAAAUUAGUUCCCCGGCCAAUUAAUAAGAAGCAAGGUAUGAUAGACUAUGGCUACGUAUGUUAGUAUGUUAUCCGAAUGUGCUUCGUUAUGCUUUUAACCAAUAUAGCUCUGUUUUGUAACAAUGCUCUAUUGAGCUUCUAACUAUAGAGUUAUUUUUCUUGAUUAGAAAAAGAAACUAUGCAAGUUUUGUUUUGUUAAGCUAUUCUGUUUCUAAAAGAAAGGCUAUUCUGUUUCUAAAACGGGAUGCAUGUAUUACCUAAAAAGAUGAUUCACCUAUAAUUAUUUUUCAAGUAAAUGAUUAUUUGAUAGCAAUCACGCCGUGUAUUUCUAUAGCUAAAAUUGUAAUUUAGAUCAGUGACAACAUGAUUAAAAGUUACAUAUUCUGAUACAUUUGUUAUUUAACGACAAGUGUGGCCAUAAUGCCUCACCUAGUCACCUAAUGCGAAGACCUCUACGAGAGACUAAUGUCGUCUGAUCUUCUUUUCUUAAUCAAAAGAAACGAAAAUGGCCACAAUGCCUCACUAUUCAUAGAACCAUACAAUAAUUUGGAACAUAUGCAUGGAUGCAAAGAAAAAUAACACAAGAACCAUCAUAAUUUCACAUUAUAUGAGAAACUUAGCCAAAUCCGAAUCACAUCCAUGUUGGCCAAGAGUGACUAAAGAAGACCACCCAGAAAGCUAGAAAACCAUAAAAUCCAGAAAACUUGAAUAAGCUAGGGAAAAAACAAAAAUGUGACAUUCCAUUUCUUCUUGCGGUUUUGUUAGGCCAAAUCAAAAUCUCAAUGACCCUGCAAUCAUUUACACACACUCUUUCUCAAUCUCUGCAAAACUGACUGCUUCCCCUGAAAACUUGCGCAAUAGGGUACCUAGCUCUCUGGCCUUUUCUUUCUAAUGCACAAUUUAUGGCUUUUGGUAAUGAUGAUUUUAUGCUUGUGGAUCUCAGAUGGGUUUGUUUUGUUUUGGGAUUUUUAUAAAUGAAUGCAUUGAAAAUGUUGAAAGCUUAUGCCUUUGUUCCUUGGUUCAGUGUUCUGGUUUUGUGUACGUACGAGAGUUGAAAUGUGAUCUCUAGUAUCGGUAAAGAGAAAUGUUCUAACCAUGCUAGUGUUAGUAAUUUAUCUUCUAAAGUUGUUUGAGUACUUUACUCUCUUACUUUACUAACUAAGCAUAGGAAAUAACGACCUAAACUACCUGAUUUUCGUUAGUGCUUGUAAACACGAAAAUUCCUGUAACGAAUAACAGAAAGACAUGUGUACAAAAUAAUAUAUUUGUAUUGAUUGAAUUUGCGGGUUACAAUCUCUAUGGGUAUUCUUUUAACAAGAAUGUCCUCUGAUUCGAUCUCCGAUGUUGAUUUGAUCCAAGGGUGACAAGCACUUGAUCUUGAAUUGAACUGUUGUAGUUUGAACUUCUUAUUGUGUUGACGAUUUGUAGAAGGAAGUUGACCAAGGGCCAUAGAGGCUUGAUCUUGGUCGAAUAUGGGCCGCGAGAGGUGUCACGUGGUGAACGUUCUUCGACUUGAUAGCGGAUGAAUCGGCACGUGUGUUUGGUACUUGUUGAUUCUCCACGAGGUUGUUGAAGAACUUGGUAGAAGUUUUGAUUUGUUGAAAGACUUGAAGACGAGGGUUGAUCAAGGGCCGUAGAGGCUUGACGUUGAUCGAGUUUGGGCCGAGCAGUUCCACAUGGUGGUUGCUCUUCGUCUUGUAGUUGGUGAAGAUGUCAGCUAUUUGGCAACUUGGGACUCUUCGGGAUUUGACAACCUAUAGGCUUGAGGUUGAUGAAGAAUCAACUAUUUGGCAGCUUGAUGAUUCUUCAAGGGUUUUGGGAGAAUUCUAAACUCUCGGGAGUAAUUUUUCUCUCUUGUCUGAAAGUCGUCCUCUUGAUAUGAGAGGGGGUAUUUAUAGUGUUAAUGCUCCUCCGUAAAUGGAAUGCAUUGAAGUCACAGCUUUAAUUAUAUUUCCUUAAUGAUAUAAUUAAAUCAAUCACUUUUGAUUGAUUGAUUCAAUUAUUCAAUUUCCCAUAAUUAAAUCAAUCAGUCUUAAUUGAUCGAUUUAGUUAUGAUCGAUAAGGUAUUUCACUAAUUUGAUUAAAUUCCGACUUCCUUUUCGAUAAUUGAUUUGAUUUGAUUGAUGUUUGAUUAUCGAUUGACAUUUAAUAUUUUAUUUUAGUUGGGAUUGAUGAUUUUGUUGUCGACCGACCAUUCACACGCCGCCACGUGUUAUUUUCGAAGACUUUUCAACUUUGCUGACUCACGAGCCACGUAUGCACGAGACUUUUCAACGUCUCUAAUUUACAUAGUAAUUGACGCAAUUUGGCCGAACUGUUUCUAAACACACUAAGCUUCAGUUCUAUAUAUACCGCGUACCACAUGUUUCAUCAAGUGUCAGAUAAUACAGAACCUACUUCGCCAAAAUGGAGAAAAUUGAGGUCAGUAUAAUUUCCAAACACACCAUCAAACCAUCAACUUCCUCUUCACCACUUCAGCCUUACAAGCUUACCCUGCUCGACCAGCUCACUCCUCCAUCGUAUGUCCCCAUGGUAUUCUUCUACCCCAUUACUGGCCCUGCAGUCUUCAAUCUUCAAACCCUAGCUGACUUAAGACAUGCCCUUUCCGAGACUCUCACUUUGUACUAUCCACUCUCUGGAAGGGUCAAAAACAACCUAUACAUCGAUGAUUUUGAAGAGGGUGUCCCAUACCUUGAGGCUCGAGUGAACUGUGACAUGAAUGAUUUUCUAAGGCUUCCGAAAAUCGAGUGCCUAAAUGAGUUUGUUCCAAUAAAACCAUUUAGUAUGGAAGCAAUAUCUGAUGAGCGUUACCCUUUGCUCGGAGUUCAAGUUAACAUUUUCAACUCCGGAAUAGCAAUCGGGGUCUCCGUCUCUCACAAGCUCAUCGAUGGAAGAACUUCAGACUGUUUUCUCAAGUCGUGGUGUGCUGUUUUUCGUGGUUCUCGUGACAAAAUCAUACAUCCUAAUCUCUCUCAAGCAGCAUUGCUUUUCCCACCAAGAGAUGACUUGCCUGAAAAGUAUGCCCGUCAGAUGGAAGGGUUAUGGUUUGUCGGAAAAAAAGUUGCUACAAGGAGAUUUGUAUUUGGUGCGAAAGCCAUAUCUGUAAUUCAAGAUGAAGCAAAGAGCGAGUCCGUGCCCAAGCCAUCACGAGUUCAGGCUGUCACUAGUUUUCUCUGGAAACAUCUAAUCGCUACUUCUCGAGCACUAACAUCAGGUAUGUAAAAUCAGUUUAGCAACAAGCCAAAUACUAAAGCAACUAAAUAAAAACCUAUUGUAUUUGGGGUAGUCCCUUAUUAGCUGUUGUCCUAAACUUCUAACGAUAUGAACUUUUUUCUCAAAAGAAAAAAAUAGUACACUUAACAUUUUCUGUUAUAAUUUCAUACUUAUUUAUAUAUUUUUAUUACAUACAUAGCUCAAAGAAUGAGAAAAUAUAUGAACCUGCAGGUACUACUUCAACAAGACUUUCUAUAGCAACCCAGGUAGUGAACAUAAGAUCACGGAGGAACAUGGAGACAGUGUGGGAUAAUGCCAUUGGAAACUUGAUAUGGUUCGCUCCGGCCAUACUAGAGCUAAGUCAUACAACACUAGAGAUCAGUGAUCUUAAGCUGUGUGACUUGGUUAACUUGCUCAAUGGAUCUGUCAAACAAUGUAACGGUGAUUACUUUGAGACUUUCAUGGGUAAAGAGGGAUAUGGAAGCAUGUGCGAGUAUCUAGAUUUUCAGAGGACUAUGAGUUCUAUGGAACCAGCACCAGAGAUUUAUUUAUUCACGAGCUGGACUAAUUUUUUCAACCAACUUGAUUUUGGAUGGGGGAGGACAUCAUGGAUUGGAGUUGCAGGAAAAAUUGAAUCUGCAUUUUGCAAUCUCAUAACAUUAGUUCCAACACCAUGCGAUACUGGAAUUGAAGCGUGGGUGAAUCUAGAAGAAGAAAAAAUGGCUAUGCUAGAACAAGAUCCCCAGUUUCUAGCACUAGCAUCUCCAAAGACGCUAAUUUCAAGAUAUUGAUUAAGGAAGAUUAUGCGGCUCGUGCAAUGUUUCCAUUUUGUUGUGAUUAAGGCUUAAAUUAGUUCACCAGCCAAUCAAUAAGAUGCAAGUAUGAUAGACUCGGUCUACGUAUGUUAUCCGAAUGUGUUUCCACAUGCUUGUAACCAAUAUAGCUCUUGUUUGUAACAAUGCUCUAUUAAGCUCUUCUAUCCAUAAAGUUAUUUCUCUAUUAAAAAGAAAACUAUACAAGUUUUGUUAAGUUUUUAAGGUAAGAUGCAUGUAGUACCCAAAAAGAUGGUUGACCUGUCAUUAUUUUCAAGUACAUGAUUAUCCGAUACAAUUACAUCAAAUAUUUCUAUAGCUAAAAAGUAUGUAAUUUUGAUCCGUGACAACAUGAUUAAAAAGUUAUAUAUUAUGAUGCAUUUAUCCUCUAACGACAAGCAUGGUCAUAAUGUCUCACCUCAUCACCUCACCAAGCGCGGAUCCAGUUCACAAGUGGGUAAGGCUCAAGCCCAACCAAGAAAAUUGGGGGAAAAAAAAACCUAAGUAUAGAUAUAUAUUUUUUUGGGUGAUAUAUCAUAUAUGCCCAGCCAUCAAGUGACCAAGCCCAACCCACCUAACUCAACCCAUCCCACUAACUACCCAAGUCCACAAUCAUCACUCAUCACUCAUCCACCCAACCUCCUUCAUCGAAGGAGUCCUUUAACUAAUCAGCUUAAACACCAAGUCUAAAAGUCUUCCCUGCUCUUCCCCUCCGCCUCCACUCAGUCACUCACCUAUGACCUAUCCCGGCUAUCCGGCUAUCCCUCUUCCCCUCCAGUCCUCCACGGCUCCACCAUAAUCUCCUUCUUCCCGGCCUCCUCCGGUCCUCCGAUUCCUCCCGGAUAGCGACGACUCGCCUCCGGCGGUCCGGACCUCCGCGGCUCCGCCUCCAGUCCUCCACUCACCUAUCCCUCUUCCAGCUGCUAGAAAGCUUGUUCGAGACUUGGUCCUCCACAGACAACCCAUUAGUCCAUUACCCAUCUUUCUUCACUCUCAGCCAGCAUGGUUGUACUAGAAAUUUUUUUUUGGCCUUCGGCCAAAGUUCAAGCCCACCCCAUCUUUAAAUCAUGGAUCCGCCACUGCACCUCACCAUAGUGUCCUAUCCUCUUAGGAGAAGGUAGGCACCUAAUGCAAAGGCCUUUAUGAGAGACUAAUAUCGUCUGAUCUUCUUUUCUUAAUCAAAAGAAAUGAAAAUGGCCACAAUGCCUCACUAUUCAUAGAGCCAUACAAUACUCUGGAACAUAUGCAUGGAGACAAAGAAAAAUAACACAAGAACCAUUAUAAUUUCACUUUAUACGGGAAACUUAGCUAAAUCCGAAUCAUGGGCGGAGCCAACCCAGGUGAAAUUUUGAAGCCCAAAAAAUUACCUGAAACAUCGUCGUUUGGGUGUAGGUUAUUUCUCCGUUUACUUCUUCUCAAUCUUAGUCAUAACUCACACCAUUGCGUCCGUAGCCCGUCGUUGUCGCUAGAGCGGUCGCCAUUUCCCAUAGCCCGCGCCGUCGCCCGUAGACCACAUCCCGAGUCAGUCAGUCCCCACUUGGCUACUUCCCCAGGUAUGGCUCAAUCGGAUUGCUUAUAUUCUGAUCGUGGACAUAGCAGGCUUCAAUUCAAAAGCCAUCAUAUUCAUAUGCUUCAAUGUUGCUUUACUUCGUCUAUAACUAGAGUUUCAGCUUUGCUUCGUCUUCAAUGUUGAUAUGUUGAUAUAAAAUAUUAACUUGAUUAGGAUUUGUUGAUAUAGAAUAUUACCUUGAUUAGGAUUUGUUGUUAUGUAAUAUGUAUUAGGAUAUUUAUUACUCAUAUUAGGAUUUGUUAUAUGAUCUUACAUCCUUACGAAUGAAUAUACAUCAACACAAUCGAAAUCUGCAUGGUCAUAUUAGCCUUAACUAGUUCAGUCCAAUUCAUAUUAGUCUUAAACUAGUUCAGUCUAAUUCCUCAUGGGUAUAUGCUGAACUUUAAGAUGUUGAUCUUCUAUAAUAACUGAGUUCGAUACCAGAAAUCUUUGAUGAUUGUCCACAUAUGUUAUCUUAUAAUCCUAUAUUAAUUUGUACUAAUCUCAUAGUCUUAAUUUGAAAGCUCCUUAUACGUCUUAACUUGGAUAUGGAUGUGGAUUUGAUCUUAUUAUAUGUAAUAUUAAAGUGAAGUUGUUGUAUUACACAGAAUGUUUGAUGAAUAAAUAACAAAUUGAUCGCGUCAAAAGGCUAGAUCAAAAAAUUUCUUGCACCAUCGAACAAAUUUUCUUGUGUAUACAAUUUCAUGGUUCCGCCACAUUGGCAACAAAGAGUGAUUGGAAAAGAAGAACACCCAGAAAGAUAAAAACCAUAAAACUUGUUUAAGCGAAAAAAACAAAAGUAUGCCAUUCAUUUCUUCUUGCGGUUUUGUUAGGCCAAAAAUCAAAAUCCCAUGAUACCCAAUCAGUUACACACUCUCCCUCUCAAUCUCUACAGAACUGACUGCUUCCCCUGAAAACUUGCGCAAUAAGGUACCCAUCUCUCUGGCCUUUUCUUUGUAAUGCAUAUAAGUUCCUGUAAAUUUUAAAGCUUUUGGAAUGAUGAUUUUAUGCUUGUGGAUCUCAAGAUGAGUUUGUUUGUUUUUUUCGGGAUUUUUAUAAUGAAUGCAUUGAAAAUGUUGAAAGCUUAUGCCUUUGUUCCUUGGUUCAGUGUUUUGGUUUUGUAUACGAGAGUUGAAAUGUGAUCUCUAGCUUGACUGUUGGUAUUGGUAAAGAGAAAUGUUCUAGAAAACCAUGCUAGUAUUAGUAAGUUAUCUUCUAAAGUUGUUCGAGUACUGUACUAAGCAUAGGAAAUAACGACCUAAGCUACCUUAUUUUCGUUAGUGCUAGCUGCUAUGAGAAACUUACCCAAUUCGUUGUUAAAAAUAGGGAAAAUACCCAAAUACUCAAAAAUUAGAAAGCUAAAACCCAUUCCAAUGAAAUUAUAAUCCUUUAGCUCAUUCCUAUGUUACACCGAUACUCCACCCCACGGACACUCCAACACUCCCGACACACCGAUAUCGAUACGAUACACCAAAAUGUGUGUCCGACACGCCACGUGGCGUGUCAAAAAAAGUUGACUUUUUAGACACGUUACGUCAGCCUGAGACACGCCAAGUCAGUGUGUAUUGAUUGAAAAAAAAAAAUACAGAACUAAAAGUCUAAAACCUAAUCGAAGAGGAAGCCCACUUUAAAGAAGCCGCAUAGAAGAGGAACGAUGUCACCGUUCACUAUCACUGCGAGAACGACGUCGUCUGUCCAUGUCAGUGUGAUUGUUCCUCCGAUGACACCACUCUGCGAGAACGACGAGAACAGCGUCGCCUUUCUCUGUUACAGCGACUCGUCCUCCGUCGGCCUAAACCCUCUCUUUAGUGUAAGGUUAAUCUUAAUCUCAGCUUUGACGUGUUUGGUGAUUGCAGUCUCAUUUGCAGUAACAGAAAAGCAUAUAAGAUUUUAAUCAUUUUAUGAUCAUUCUGAUACCACUUAUAGAUUUUUAAGGCAAUGUGCUAUUGAAGCAUCUGCACUGUGAUGUUAAGUGUCAUGAUAUUGCUCAAUUGCUGAUAGGGUAGGAUGGAGCUAGACAUUUGAGACUUUGCAAAAUUGAGUUUAUACCUACUAGUAUUAGAUCAUCAAUUAGUUGAGAGUUUGUAGGAGGUCAGGUUUUAUACUUGGUGAGAAACAUCGGCUCAUCUGUAUUUGUAAGGAAGAUUUAAUUGAAAGGAGUUGUGUAUGGAUUGCUUAUUUGUUUAUCUUUGCUCUGUUAAUUGUUAAUAUGUUAUGAUAUGCUGCUGUGUCUAUGCUGAUGUGCUUAUGCUACUGUGUGUCUAUGCUACUGUGUCUAUGCUAUUGUCUUAUGUUGUUUUGUUGGAUUAUUAUGAUUAGGAUGAGUUCAAGUGCGACAUCUACUGAACCUAGUGUUGAAUCAACUAAGCCUGAAAAAUUAGAUGCUCCUCUAUCAAGGAUAAAGGAUGAUGCCAAUGCAUGCGUGCCUUGCUCUUAUGUAUUUUGAAUAUCUCAGUUAUGGGGUUUUAGGCAGUUGGUGUUAUUAUAGGGUUAGGAAAGUCGGAUUUUCAUUCAGUUUGAUGAAUGUGUUGAAUUAGAUAAAACUAUUUAGUAAUCAUCCUUUAGAUUAAAUAUUGACUCUCUUUUAUGUUAUUUGUUACAGUUAUGCAAUUGCUUAAAUUUAGAGCAUUAUUUAAGCAAUGUGAUAAAUUUAUUCAUAUUUGAGCAUUUUUUUAUUAAUUAGAAAUAUACAAAUAAGUAAUUAUAUUUGCCGUGUCUAAGCCGUGUCGAAAAUGUAGUCUUUGAGUUUUGCCGUGUCGCCGUGUCAGUACGUAUCGUGUCGCCGUAUCCGUGUCCGUGUCCAUGUAACAUAGGCUCAUUCCAAUGAUUCUUAUGCAAAAGACAUUAUUANNNNNNNNNNNNNNNNNNNNCUCUCUCUCUCUCUCUCUCUCUCUCUCUCUCUCCUCUCUCUCUCUCUCUCUCUCUCUCUCUCUCUCUCUCUCUCUCUCUCUCGGUGUACGACGAUGCAAGGUUGAAGACGCAGCCUCCUACUGAGUCGACGAGACCGCGCUCGUGGUCGUGAUUCUCCUCAACAGCGACAUCGAUUUUGGCGGCACCUCUCGGAGAUGAUCCUCAUCUGCCAGAACCUCUGCAACAAUCUCUAGAGCCCUAACGAGCACAUCCGGGGCGUCACGCUCCAGUUCCUCUACUGGUUGAGCAAGUUGGAGAUUGUCCGGCCGUUGAUUUCAUCGAUUUUGGCCAAUCUAGUCAGAGAUUGAGGUCUGUGUUUAGUGCAAACAUGGAUAACGUUCUUCUUCUCCUUUUUUUAUCGGAGAUCGUGUUUUUGUUUUUGUUUUGGUCAGAGAGAUUGUGGUUUUUUCCCCUUUUUUUUUCAAUAUAAUGGUUAUUAAAUGAUAGUAUCUUGAUUAUUGGAGUAAUUAGUCUAUUAUUGGGAGGUAAGAAGUAUCUAGUGGAGGUCAAUAAACAUUUAUUGACCCCAAUAUUGCUUUUAUAAAUUUUUUUUGAGAUGUAGGGAUUUGCCUUAGAGGUAAAAACUUCCUUUUUAACUCGAUUACUAGGAAUCAUUAACUGAUUAUUGAGGUUAAGUAACUGAUUAUUGAGGGUCAGUAAGUGAUUAUUGGGGUUCAGUAACUGAUUAUUGGGGGUUAAUAACUGAUUAUUGGGGGUCAUUUUGAGAGUCAGUAACCGAGUUAUUGGUGAUCAGAAUCCAGCAACCGGAAAAAAUCUGAGUUACUGGGGGUCAGUAACUAAGUUACCGGUUAUCGGAAUCAGGCGACCGGAGAAAAUAUGAGUUACUAGGAGUCAAUAACGGCGACCGAAGAAAUUUCUGGCAACCGGGGACCGGAAUCCGGCGACCGGCAACCAGAGUCCGGCGGCGGGUGACCGGAGUCCGGUGAGAUUCCGGCCAAGUAUUCUCUCUCUUCCACUUUCUCUCUCUAUACAUGUUGAAGUGGUGAGAGUAAAAUUGUCUUAAAAAUAUAUAAAAAUUAUUUUUUAUUAUAACAUUAGUAAAGAUUUGUGCAUAAAAAAUGUUACCUUAUAUUGGAAUGAGCUCAUGAAAAAGAUUAACAUUAAAAUGGGGAAUAAGAGGUUUAAAUUAGUAUUAAAUUGACAUUUUCCCUUUAAAAUAAUAACAGAACCAUCAAUGCCGUGAUAGUCCCUUAAUAUUUGGUGGCUAAUUAGUAAUGCAUUCAUGGUAGUUGUGCUUAUUUUGUGCAUGUAUUCUAAUUCUAUCACUUGCAAAAUCGUUGUGGAAGGUUAAGAGGAGAAAACAGAAAAUGGGGCAGCAUGCAUCUCAUUUUAUUUCCGAUCAUAUUUUCAUAUCAUAGACGUUCACUAUUUAGAUAUACAUGAGUUGAUCAUCUCUACAAAAUUUCAACUAAUUUAGUUAUCAUUAAGGUAUCGAAAAUGUAUUAAAUCAAUGAACGAACCGAAUCUGUUCAUCCUGAACUGUACGUUCUAUUAGUUCUAAAUCACAGUUUUGAAUGUCUUAAUGAUUAUCAACUUGGCUGAAAAUUUAUAUAGAUGAUCUACUGAUAUAUAUACCUAAAAUAUGAACGGUUGAGAUGAGAAAAUAUGAUCGAAAGUGGGACAAAUAAUGAAAUCCGUACCUUAGAUAAGGUAAGGAGGUCCUUACCUGAUCAAGAUUGUGUGUGUGUGUCUAUAGAGUUUAGGGUUUAGAGUUUUAGGGUGUCAUGAAGAUAUCAUACAUCCUAAUCUCUCUGAAGCAGCAUUGCUUUUCCCACCGAGAGAUGACUUGCCUGAAAAGUAUGCCGGUCAGAUGGAAGGGUUAUGGUUUGCCGGAAAGAAUGUUGCUACAAGGAGAUUUGUAUUUGGUGCGAAAGCCAUAUCUUCAAUUCAAGAUGAAGCGAAGAGCGAGUCUGUGCCCAAGCCAUCACAAGUUCAGGCCGUCACUGGUUUUCUCUGGAAACAUCUAAUUGCUGCUUCUCGGGCACUAACAUCAGGUAAAAUCAGUUUAUCAACAAGCGUAAUGUAUUUGGGGUAGUCCCUUAUUAAUUAGCUGUUGUCCUAAACUUCUAACGAUAUGAACUUCUUUUUCAAAAGAAAAAAAAUAGUACACACUUAACAUUUUUUCUGUUAUAAUUUCACAUUAUUUAUAUAUUUUUAUUACGUAUAGUGUACUGUGUACAUAGCUCAAAGAAAGAUAAUAUAUAUGAACUUGCAGGUACUAACUACUUCAACAAAACUUUCUAUAGCAGCCCAGGCAGUGAACAUAAGAUCACGGAUGAACAUGGAGACAGUGUUGGAUAAUGCCAUUGGGAUCUUGAUAUGGUCGGCUCCGGCCAUACUAGAGCUAAAGUCAUACAACACCAGAGAUCAAU